CGAAAAGUAGCUUAACCUAAAGCAUUCGACCUACACUCGAACGACAUUAAACAUAAUCUUUUCGA
RNAcentral lists this transfer RNA (65 nucleotides) under Thermophis shangrila (Shangri-La hot-spring snake). Its description in RNAcentral is "tRNA-Val". It matches the Rfam family "tRNA". From Rfam's summary of the family: Transfer RNA (tRNA) molecules are approximately 80 nucleotides in length. Their secondary structure includes four short double-helical elements and three loops (D, anti-codon, and T loops). Further hydrogen bonds mediate the characteristic L-shaped molecular structure. tRNAs have two regions of fundamental functional importance: the anti-codon, which is responsible for specific mRNA codon recognition, and the 3' end, to which the tRNAs corresponding amino acid is attached (by aminoacyl-tRNA synthetases). tRNAs cope with the degeneracy of the genetic code in two manners: having more than one tRNA (with a specific anti-codon) for a particular amino acid; and 'wobble' base-pairing, i.e. permitting non-standard base-pairing at the 3rd anti-codon position. Lineage: Eukaryota; Metazoa; Chordata; Lepidosauria; Squamata; Dipsadidae. The record is from RNAcentral.